Non-coding RNA from Vicugna pacos (alpaca), 1190 nucleotides. The record is from RefSeq and is a predicted model, not a curated record. NCBI's taxonomy places the organism in Eukaryota, Metazoa, Chordata, Mammalia, Artiodactyla, Camelidae.
GGCGCAGACAGACAGGCGCAGCCGCCAGUCAGGUGCCGAGGCGGAUUCGGGGCCUGGCCAAUGAGACGCGCAGAGGUGGCAGGGGCGGAGCGUCUGCGGCUCGAGGGAGCCCGGCGGAGGUGGGCGCUGAGCCCAGCCUUGGAAUCCCGCGCGUAGGAGCCCCACCUCCGGCGUCUGGGCAAGGACUGUUUCACCAGUAAGACUCCCAAACUUCCACAGACAAGGGAGAGAACCUGAAGCACGAGUGCUUAUUUUUUCAGUCCUUAAGAAGUGUUUCCGCUUACCAGAGACUGAAGUUAUCUGUCUGGCGGGUGGAGCCAGAGCACGCCCACAGCAACUCCCCAGAGAGCGCCCCGGCCCUUCUCAGUAGACACAAAGUCUCUUAAUACAGCUCGUCUCAGGAGGGUAAAGAUGCGUUAAGGAGUAAAGCAGUGGGAUGUCUGGGGCACACUAACAGGAGGGGGAUUGAGGGCUUCGAAGAAAAUGCCAGGUGAAAGCUCUCACACCCGAAGCACCACCCCGGCUCCUAUUCCUGUAAAGAUUUCCGCUGUGAUAGGCGUUUACUUUUCUGUUUAAAGUGGAAGUGGCUUUAGUUACCCCUCAAGACAUGCUUUAAUAGAUUUUUGAAGUCCUCAUGGUAAGAGGACGUUAAAAGAACGUAUUCGAUGACGUGGGAACUGCAAGAGAGCCAGCCCAGCGCCCGCUAAAUCACACCUGGUAUGGCCAACCCCACCUAACCUGUAAGACCCAGUGCGCCUCGCCUGCCUGUGAUUGGGUGUGUCUCAGACUUUACAAUUCAUGACUCAACCUACCUGCAUCAGGACAAAUAAAUUGUCAGCGCUCUCUCUAGGUACCUCCCAUAAACCAACUCAUUCUCAAGUUUGAGACUAUGGACAACACUAAUCAACCAAGGAUCUCCCCAGCUGCUGCCAGAGGAUUCUUCUGAAAGUCAACAUGGAUCAUGUUCUUCCUGUUAAAAGAAGUUGCAGGAGGAGAGGAAGAAGGAAGACUGUGAGGUAAAGAUCAACCUAAAGCACAUUUUUGAGCUGUUUUCCAGGACCCAAAACCCCUCGAGCGAUCAGCCACAGGAAUACCUGAAGCCUAAGGAAUGAUGAUGUUGACCUUUGCUAACUGUCGUAACUUCACACAAAUGAAGAUCAUGAGGCUUAAAGAGAUUAACUACCUGCCUA